UAAAACUGGAAUUGCCUUGUGCGUACUGG
This 29-nucleotide non-coding RNA is filed under the name Mus musculus (house mouse). The record is from RNAcentral. Lineage: Eukaryota; Metazoa; Chordata; Mammalia; Rodentia; Muridae.